ACCCGCUGAACUUAAGCAUAUCAAUAAGCGGAGGAAAAGAAACCAACAGGGAUUGCCCCAGUAACGGCGAGUGAAGCGGCAAGAGCUCAAAUUUGAAAGCUGGCUCCUUCGGGGUCCGCAUUGUAAUUUGCAGAGGAUGCUUCGGGAGCGGUCCCCAUCUAAGUUCCCUGGAACGGGACGUCAUAGAGGGUGAAAAUCCCGUAUGGGAUGGGGUGUCCGCGCCCGUGUGAAGCUCCUUCGACGAGUCGAGUUGUUUGGGAAUGCAGCUCUAAAUGGGUGGUAAAUUUCAUCUAAAGCUAAAUAUUGGCCGGAGACCGAUAGCGCACAAGUAGAGUGAUCGAAAGAUGAAAAGCACUUUGAAAAGAGAGUUAAAAAGCACGUGAAAUUGUUGAAAGGGAAGCGCUUGCGACCAGACUCGCUCGCGGGGUUCAGCCGGCAUUCGUGCCGGUGUACUUCCCCGCGGGCGGGCCAACGUCGGUUUGGGCGGUCGGUCAAAGGCCCUCGGAAGGUAACGCCCCCAGGGGCGUCUUAUAGCCGAGGGUGCAAUGCGACCUGCCUAGACCGAGGAACGCGCUUCGGCUCGGACGUUGGCAUAAUGGUCGUAAGCGACCCGUCUUGAAACACGG
This 626-nucleotide ribosomal RNA is filed under the name uncultured fungus. Its description in RNAcentral is "LSU rRNA". It matches the Rfam family "Eukaryotic large subunit ribosomal RNA", at positions 23 to 664 of the family's 3401-position model. Lineage: Eukaryota; Fungi. The record is from RNAcentral.